Molecule: ribosomal RNA, 376 nt
Filed under: uncultured bacterium
Lineage: Bacteria
Description: bacterial SSU rRNA
Rfam family: Bacterial small subunit ribosomal RNA
Source: RNAcentral
AUACGUAGGGGGCAAGCGUUGUCCGGAAUUAUUGGGCGUAAAGCGCGCGCAGGCGGUUCUUUAAGUCUUGUGUUUAAUCCCGGGGCUCAACCCCGGUGCGCAUGGGAAACUGGAGGACUAGAGUGCAGGAGAGGAAAGUGGAAUUCCACGUGUAGCGGUGAAAUGCGUAGAGAUGUGGAGGAACACCAGUGGCGAAGGCGACUUUCUGGCCUGUAACUGACGCUGAGGCGCGAAAGCGUGGGGAGCAAACAGGAUUAGAUACCCUGGUAGUCCACGCCGUAAACGAUGAGUGCUAGGUGUCGGGGGUUUCAAUACCCUCGGUGCCGAAGUCAACACAGUAAGCACUCCGCCUGGGGAGUACGCUCGCAAGAGUGAA